This 66-nucleotide transfer RNA is filed under the name Tetrancistrum nebulosi. Its description in RNAcentral is "tRNA-Gln". The record is from RNAcentral. Lineage: Eukaryota; Metazoa; Platyhelminthes; Monogenea; Dactylogyridea; Ancyrocephalidae.
AUGUAAUAAGGUGUUUAGAUGCAUUUCAUAUUUUGAUUAUGGAGGGGAUUAGGGUUCUAUUACUUU